AGUCUUAUAUUCAAUAAUGAUAUAAAAUUGCAAAUUUUAUGGUAUAAAUCUAAUUAUUAAGGCUU
Molecule: transfer RNA, 65 nt
Filed under: Pseudargyria interruptella
Lineage: Eukaryota; Metazoa; Arthropoda; Insecta; Lepidoptera; Crambidae
Description: tRNA-Cys
Source: RNAcentral